GGAGAGGUGCUCGAGUGGCUGAAGAGGCACGCUUGGAAAGCGUGUAGGCCUGGCAACAGGUCUCGAGGGUUCGAAUCCCUCCCCCUCCGCCA
RNAcentral lists this transfer RNA (92 nucleotides) under Candidatus Saccharimonadota bacterium. RNAcentral describes it as "tRNA-Ser". It matches the Rfam family "tRNA". From Rfam's summary of the family: Transfer RNA (tRNA) molecules are approximately 80 nucleotides in length. Their secondary structure includes four short double-helical elements and three loops (D, anti-codon, and T loops). The record is from RNAcentral. Lineage: Bacteria; Candidatus Saccharimonadota.